Long non-coding RNA from Mesocricetus auratus (golden hamster), 274 nucleotides. RefSeq lists it as uncharacterized. NCBI's taxonomy places the organism in Eukaryota, Metazoa, Chordata, Mammalia, Rodentia, Cricetidae. The transcript is spliced from 3 exons. The record is from RefSeq and is a predicted model, not a curated record.
GAGGCAGUGUAACUGACUCCAUGCCGCUGUGGGAGCCUGCCUUCCAGAAGCUGUCGGCUGCCUGACCACAUUGCAUUCCCCUCCAGUGAGAAAAACAUUCCAGAGAGGAUUAAGGUGGGCCUAGAACAAGAAAGUGAGACACAACUGCUUCUGAUACACCAAUUAUGUCUGAAUGGAAGAUGAGCAUUGAAGAAAUUCGUUGUGGAGUUUGCUUUCAACAUGGCAAGAUUAGCCAUUUGGGCAAGAAUCUGCUCUUGCCUGGACUGUUUGACUG